RNAcentral lists this transfer RNA (72 nucleotides) under Pangasianodon gigas (Mekong giant catfish). RNAcentral's name for it is "tRNA-Glu". It matches the Rfam family "tRNA". Rfam says of the family: Transfer RNA (tRNA) molecules are approximately 80 nucleotides in length. Their secondary structure includes four short double-helical elements and three loops (D, anti-codon, and T loops). Further hydrogen bonds mediate the characteristic L-shaped molecular structure. tRNAs have two regions of fundamental functional importance: the anti-codon, which is responsible for specific mRNA codon recognition, and the 3' end, to which the tRNAs corresponding amino acid is attached (by aminoacyl-tRNA synthetases). tRNAs cope with the degeneracy of the genetic code in two manners: having more than one tRNA (with a specific anti-codon) for a particular amino acid; and 'wobble' base-pairing, i.e. permitting non-standard base-pairing at the 3rd anti-codon position. The record is from RNAcentral. Lineage: Eukaryota; Metazoa; Chordata; Actinopteri; Siluriformes; Pangasiidae.
GCUCUGGAGGACUAGUGGUUAGGCCACAGUGCUCUCACUGCUGUGGCCUGGGUUCGACUGCCAGCCAGGGAA